Molecule: transfer RNA, 77 nt
Filed under: Klebsiella pneumoniae
Lineage: Bacteria; Pseudomonadati; Pseudomonadota; Gammaproteobacteria; Enterobacterales; Enterobacteriaceae
Description: tRNA-Arg
Rfam family: tRNA
About the family: Transfer RNA (tRNA) molecules are approximately 80 nucleotides in length. Their secondary structure includes four short double-helical elements and three loops (D, anti-codon, and T loops).
Source: RNAcentral
GCAUCCGGAGCUCAGCUGGAUAGAGUACUCGGCUACGACCCGAGCGGUCGGAGGUUCGAAUCCUCCCGGAUGCACCA